UACGUAGGGUGCAAGCGUUGUCCGGAAUCACUGGGCGUAAAGCGCACGUAGGCGGCUUUUUAAGUCAGGGGUGAAAUCCUGGAGCUCAACUCCAGAACUGCCUUUGAUACUGAGAGGCUCGAGUCCGGGAGAGGUGAGUGGAACUGCGAGUGUAGAGGUGAAAUUCGUAGAUAUUCGCAAGAACACCAGUGGCGAAGGCGGCUCACUGGCCCGGUACUGACGCUGAGGUGCGAAAGCGUGGGGAGCAAACAGG
This 253-nucleotide ribosomal RNA is filed under the name uncultured bacterium. RNAcentral's name for it is "partial 16S ribosomal RNA". It matches the Rfam family "Bacterial small subunit ribosomal RNA", at positions 524 to 776 of the family's 1533-position model. The record is from RNAcentral.